This 385-nucleotide ribosomal RNA is filed under the name Staphylococcus aureus. Its description in RNAcentral is "partial 23S ribosomal RNA". It matches the Rfam family "Bacterial large subunit ribosomal RNA", at positions 1 to 379 of the family's 2925-position model. Lineage: Bacteria; Bacillati; Bacillota; Bacilli; Caryophanales; Staphylococcaceae. The record is from RNAcentral.
GAUUAAGUUAUUAAGGGCGCACGGUGGAUGCCUUGGCACUAGAAGCCGAUGAAGGACGUUACUAACGACGAUAUGCUUUGGGGAGCUGUAAGUAAGCUUUGAUCCAGAGAUUUCCGAAUGGGGAAACCCAGCAUGAGUUAUGUCAUGUUAUCGAUAUGUGAAUACAUAGCAUAUCAGAAGGCACACCCGGAGAACUGAAACAUCUUAGUACCCGGAGGAAGAGAAAGAAAAUUCGAUUCCCUUAGUAGCGGCGAGCGAAACGGGAAGAGCCCAAACCAACAAGCUUGCUUGUUGGGGUUGUAGGACACUCUAUACGGAGUUACAAAGGACGACAUUAGACGAAUCAUCUGGAAAGAUGAAUCAAAGAAGGUAAUAAUCCUGUAGU